AGUGAACGCUGGCGGCAGGCUUAACACAUGCAAGUCGAACGGCAGCACAGUGCGAGGUUGUGCUGAGGGGUGGCCGGUGGAGUAAGGGAGAGGAAUAUAUCGGGAUCUGGGGUUUAGUGGGGCAUAAGGUAGGGAAAUUUACGAUAAUAUCGAGUACGGACUACGGGGGAAAGCAGGGGAUCUUGGGACCUUGCGCGACUGAAUGAGCCGAUGUAGGGUUUGCUAGUUGGUGGGGUAAAGGCCCACCAAGGCGACGAUCCGGAGCUGGUCUGAGAGGAUGACCAGCCACACUGGGACUGAGACACGGUCCAGACUCCUACGGGAGGCAGCAGUGGGGAAUAUUGGACAAUGGGCGCAAGCCUGAUCCAGCAAGACCGCGUGGGGGAAGAAGGCCUUCGGGUUGUAAACCCCUUUUGUUGGGAAAGAAACGCAUCUGGUUAAUACCCCGCUGUUCUGACGGUACCCAAAGAAUAAGCGCCGGCUAACUUCG
This 490-nucleotide ribosomal RNA is filed under the name uncultured bacterium. RNAcentral describes it as "partial 16S ribosomal RNA". It matches the Rfam family "Bacterial small subunit ribosomal RNA", at positions 30 to 505 of the family's 1533-position model. The record is from RNAcentral.